Non-coding RNA from Prunus mume (Japanese apricot), 656 nucleotides. NCBI's taxonomy places the organism in Eukaryota, Viridiplantae, Streptophyta, Magnoliopsida, Rosales, Rosaceae. The record is from RefSeq and is a predicted model, not a curated record.
UUUUGAAUUGGAUGACAACGGCUUACCCCAUUCCAGUAACUAUCAUGUGCUACCUGAACUGAGAGGAAUAUUCUGCCCUCCUUUGCGCAACCAUAGCCCUGGCUUUGUUGCCUCCCUUGAUGGUGAUGACAGUCGUAUGUGCGUUGUCUAUGUGGGGGAAGAUGGCACAUAUAAAAGGUGGUUUGCCCGUUUAGCAAUGGUUAAACUUCAUAUAUCAACAUGUGUUGGAAAGUUAAAAGUUACUGCAGUUCUAGAGGGUUUGCACAGUUUUGAUUGCAAUGGACUUGAAUUAUAUGGUCGGACACUUCUCUCAUCUUUCAUCAUGUGUGAUCAUUUGGACAAGCAUGAUGUCGAGGCUGAUGCAAGUUGAAGUAGUCCUUCAUGCCGUAACUUUUCUUGAUUAAUAAUGUUUGAGGAAUAAACUGUUGAAUUAUAUAUCCUUAAGCUGAAUUAGAAGUUAGUUAAACAAUAAAUUUUUUGUUUAAGUUUUAUUUAGCCAAAUGGAUAGAUAGAUGAGUGGCUGAGAUCAUCUUGUGAUGUAAGAGAUCAAGCUAAUGUUGCUAACGGUAAUAUUCCUUGCUCCAUGUGCUUAAGGUUGUAACAGAUAUGAGAGAGAACAUCCCUCUAUUGAAUUCUGCAGAGCAGUAAGAGGACAA